RNAcentral lists this ribosomal RNA (266 nucleotides) under uncultured bacterium. RNAcentral's name for it is "partial 16S ribosomal RNA". It matches the Rfam family "Bacterial small subunit ribosomal RNA", at positions 87 to 354 of the family's 1533-position model. The record is from RNAcentral.
AUGGCGACCGGACGCACGGGUGAGUAACACGUAUCCAACCUGCCGAUGACUCGGGGAUAGCCUUUCGAAAGAAAGAUUAAUACCCGAUGGCAUAGUUCUUCCGCAUGGUAGAACUAUUAAAGAAUUUCGGUCAUCGAUGGGGAUGCGUUCCAUUAGCUUGUUGGCGGGGUAACGGCCCACCAAGGCAUCGAUGGAUAGGGGUUCUGAGAGGAAGGUCCCCCACAUUGGAACUGAGACACGGUCCAAACUCCUACGGAAGGCAGCAG